GAAUUUUGCGCAAUGGGCGAAAGCCUGACGCAGUAACGCCGUGUGGAGGAUGAAGGCCUUCGGGUUGUAAACUCCUGUCAGGGGGAACGACGAAGAAAGGUUGAUAAAGCCUUUCCUUCAGACGGUACCCCCAAAGUAAGCCCCGGCUAAUUCCGUGCCAGCCGCCGCGGUAAUACGGACGGGGCAAGCGUUGUGCGGAAUCAUUGGGCGUAAAGGGAGCGUAGGUGGUUCUGUAUGUCUACUGUGAAAGCGUACAGCUCAACUGUAUUUUGUCGGUCGAAACUGCAGGACUUGAGGCUGGGAGGGGCUGGUGGAAUUUCCUGUGUAGCGGUGAAAUGCGUAGAGAUGGGGGAGAACACUCGUGGCGAAGGCGGCCAGCUAGACCAGUUCUGACACUGAGGCGCGACAGCGUGGGGAGCAAACAGG
This 426-nucleotide ribosomal RNA is filed under the name uncultured bacterium. RNAcentral describes it as "bacterial SSU rRNA". It matches the Rfam family "Bacterial small subunit ribosomal RNA", at positions 359 to 776 of the family's 1533-position model. The record is from RNAcentral.